AUGCAAGGUAUGGCCUUAGCUAUCCAACACUCGGAUCUUCCAGUCGUCGUCCAGUCGGAUUCUUCUGAAGCCUUAGCGAGCCUUUAGAGCAAUGUUUUAACUCGCUCGGCUUAUGGUCACUUGGUCCUAGAGAUUAAGGAGUUCAUGAGUAAUAGGAAGUUUGUACCUCAGAAAAUCUAUCGCACUCAGAAUAGAGUUGCUGAUCGGUUCGCCAAUUAUAGUCGUUCCGAGCGAGCUACAGCUGUGUGGUUGCAUUCGGUUCCACCUUGUAUUGAGGGUUUGUGGCCUCUCAACUGUAACACUAUGACAUUUUAA
Molecule: ribosomal RNA, 315 nt
Filed under: Triticum aestivum (bread wheat)
Lineage: Eukaryota; Viridiplantae; Streptophyta; Magnoliopsida; Poales; Poaceae
Description: partial small subunit ribosomal RNA
Source: RNAcentral